Molecule: ribosomal RNA, 160 nt
Filed under: uncultured bacterium
Lineage: Bacteria
Also listed under: 1 other name
Description: partial 16S rRNA
Rfam family: Bacterial small subunit ribosomal RNA
Source: RNAcentral
UAGGGAAUCUUCCACAAUGGACGGAAGUCUGAUGGAGCAACGCCGCGUGAGCGAAGAAGGUCUUCGGAUCGUAAAGCUCUGUUGUAAGGGAAGAAUAAGUACAGUAGUAACUGGCUGUACCUUGACGGUACCUUACGAGAAAGCCACGGCUAACUACGUG